RNAcentral lists this ribosomal RNA (695 nucleotides) under Lactiplantibacillus plantarum. RNAcentral's name for it is "bacterial SSU rRNA". It matches the Rfam family "Bacterial small subunit ribosomal RNA", at positions 80 to 764 of the family's 1533-position model. Lineage: Bacteria; Bacillati; Bacillota; Bacilli; Lactobacillales; Lactobacillaceae. The record is from RNAcentral.
UUUACAUUUGAGUGAGUGGCGAACUGGUGAGUAACACGUGGGAAACCUGCCCAGAAGCGGGGGAUAACACCUGGAAACAGAUGCUAAUACCGCAUAACAACUUGGACCGCAUGGUCCGAGUUUGAAAGAUGGCUUGGCUAUCACUUUUGGAUGGUCCCGCGGCGUAUUAGCUAGAUGGUGGGUAACGGCUCACCAUGGCAAUGAUACGUAGCCGACCUGAGAGGGUAAUCGGCCACAUUGGGACUGAGACACGGCCCAAACUCCUACGGGAGGCAGCAGUAGGGAAUCUUCCACAAUGGACGAAAGUCUGAUGGAGCAACGCCGCGUGAGUGAAGAAGGGUUUCGGCUCGUAAAACUCUGUUGUUAAAGAAGAACAUAUCUGAGAGUAACUGUUCAGGUAUUGACGGUAUUUAACCAGAAAGCCACGGCUAACUACGUGCCAGCAGCCGCGGUAAUACGUAGGUGGCAAGCGUUGUCCGGAUUUAUUGGGCGUAAAGCGAGCGCAGGCGGUUUUUUAAGUCUGAUGUGAAAGCCUUCGGCUCAACCGAAGAAGUGCAUCGGAAACUGGGAAACUUGAGUGCAGAAGAGGACAGUGGAACUCCNUGUGUAGCGGUGAAAUGCGUAGAUAUAUGGAAGAACACCAGUGGCNAAGGCGGCUGUCUGGUCUGUAACUGACGCUGAGGCUCAAAGUAUGG